GUUGAACGCUGGCGGCAUGCCUUACACAUGCAAGUCGAACGGUAACGGGCCUUCGGGUGCCGACGAGUGGCGAACGGGUGAGUAAUACAUCGGAACGUGCCCGAUCGUGGGGGAUAACGAGGCGAAAGCUUUGCUAAUACCGCAUACGAUCUACGGAUGAAAGCAGGGGACCGCAAGGCCUUGCGCGGACGGAGCGGCCGAUGGCAGAUUAGGUAGUUGGUGGGAUAAAAGCUUACCAAGCCGACGAUCUGUAGCUGGUCUGAGAGGAUGAUCAGCCACACUGGGACUGAGACACGGCCCAGACUCCUACGGGAGGCAGCAGUGGGGAAUUUUGGACAAUGGGCGCAAGCCUGAUCCAGCCAUGCCGCGUGCAGGAUGAAGGCCUUCGGGUUGUAAACUGCUUUUGUACGGAACGAAAAGCCUUCUUUUAAUACAGGAGGGUCAUGACGAUACCGUAAGAAUAAGCACCGGCUAACUACGU
Molecule: ribosomal RNA, 481 nt
Filed under: uncultured bacterium
Lineage: Bacteria
Description: partial 16S ribosomal RNA
Rfam family: Bacterial small subunit ribosomal RNA
Source: RNAcentral